Molecule: long non-coding RNA, 296 nt
Organism: Xenia sp. Carnegie-2017
Lineage: Eukaryota; Metazoa; Cnidaria; Anthozoa; Malacalcyonacea; Xeniidae
Exons: 2
Source: RefSeq, a predicted model, not a curated record
UCUUUGGAGCAACGUACGGAAAUCAAAUUCCAAAAAUGGAUUACCCAUCUACAUGCUGACCAGUUAUGAUUCAGCCUGAUAAAGAAUCAACUAGAAACACUUACAGUCUGUCUCUAGAACACAAGCUUAGAGAGAACAUAAGCCCAUUGGCUCACCUUCUCGUGAAAACAGCUUGCCACACCCAAAAUUUACAUUGAAAACGACGCAGACGAGUUCUCACUUGGUGAAGGAAAGAAUUUGACGUUUACCUACAACGUUACGUCUUAUCCUGCUGCCGAUAUCUUUUGGUGGCGUUU